UUUCAACAGGAAAGAUAACUUCUUUUCUAGUGACAGGAACGAAAACUCUGUCCUCCUGUUGAAACAAUAAUUAUGUUGAGACGCGAUUAUAAUUGUGACUGCACACAUUAUUUGAAGCGUGAAGGAAAUAUUAUCUUGAGCGUGGAGAAAUAUUAUUUGAAGCGUGGAGAAAUAUUAUUUGAAGCGUGACGGAAAACAAGCGUCGAUGCGAGGGAGAUCGUCACGUGAAAAGGCCAUGUGCGCUGUUCGAUCAUGUAAACGAAGUGGAAGACAGAAAGUCCAACGUUAACUAGGCUAUAAGCGAUUCAAAGAGAAUUCAGAUAGGAAAUGGAACUAUUGAACAAUAAAUUCUGCCUGGAAGCAAGAAUUGGGGCAAACAGUGCAAGGGAUACCCGCUGCUCUAUUUCAAAAGUUAUUGGGAAUUUGUGAUAGAAGAUUGUGCAGAUCUGGACAAAAAUUCAAUGUGAAUAACUUUGAAGAAAGAAGUCUUGGCAAAUUUCAGAGAAUUUUUGAUGGAAGAAUAUGUGUUGUUCCUGAACAUUUUGCACAUGAAAGAACAAGGUACGGUUUCAAUACAAAUUUUGCCCUGUGUUUUUCUUAAAAAUGAAAGUAUUGUAAAAAAUUAAAACUCAUGAUUUCUGAAUCAUUGAAAUUACACGCAGAAAGAUCAUACAAAUCAUUUUUCUCACAUGACCUUCUAAAUGCUAAUUGUGACGUCAUAAACUAGUGCAUUUUCCCGUAUUUUCUUGAAAAGUUGCAGAAGACACCAAUUUUCAAUGGAAUUUUCUCUCAGAUGAUAUUGUCCACAGGCAUCGCCCACAAAGAUUUUGAGAUAUGUGAUUUUUCAAAGAAUUUUACACAACAUAUCCGAAAAUAAACGUGGGCGACGGCUGUGGACACUAUUUUCUUAAGGAAAAUAACCCUUGAAAUGGGUCAUUUUGAGGCUUUUUCUGUUUAAAAUAGAGAAAUGCAUCAAAUUAAUGACGUCAUAUUUCCAGAAUGGUACUCUUUCAUGCUAUAUUCUUUCCUGUUUUAUCACUCUCAUAUACUCAACAAAUGUUUAAGCCAGUUUCAAAACUUUUUGAAAGUAUUAAAUUUUUAGGGCACAAUAAAGCUAAAACCGUACCUUCUUCUUUGUCCUUUUGACAUCAUUUGACACUAAUUUGAAGUGAUGCAUUUUUGAUAAAUUUGUACAUGUAUAUGAAAUACUCCAUUUAAAGUGUCACAUCUGUGUCUCAAGUUACUGCUGAUAAAGUGGGAUCUGCAUGAGUGAACAAACUUGAAUUUCUGCAUUUAUAUUGAUUGCAUUUAUGAAAUUUGUAUUUAUAUUUACCAAAGUACCAAAGAAUGUAUUAAAAUUAUAUGAAAAUGGA
Molecule: long non-coding RNA, 1373 nt
Organism: Saccostrea echinata
Lineage: Eukaryota; Metazoa; Mollusca; Bivalvia; Ostreida; Ostreidae
Exons: 3
Source: RefSeq, a predicted model, not a curated record